RNAcentral lists this non-coding RNA (68 nucleotides) under Commensalibacter intestini. Its description in RNAcentral is "Fluoride sequence". It matches the Rfam family "Fluoride riboswitch aptamer (crcB RNA motif)". The record is from RNAcentral. Lineage: Bacteria; Pseudomonadati; Pseudomonadota; Alphaproteobacteria; Acetobacterales; Acetobacteraceae.
UAAAGUUUAGGAGAUGAUAUCCUCCUUGUAAACCGCCGCAUUUUGCGGAUGAUGAUAUCUACGCGGAG